GAUGAACGCUGGCGGCAUGCUUUACACAUGCAAGUCGAACGGAAAGUCGUGGUUCUUGUGGCGUCCGCGUGAGUAACGCGUGAGAGCCUGCCCUGGGGAGGGUAACCAUAGCUGGAAGCGGCUGCUAAUACACCGUAGGCUGAGGAGCGAAAGGAGUAAUGCGCCCAAGGGGGGGCUCGCGACUGAUUGGCUAGUUGGCGAGGUUAGAGCUUACCAAGGCGGUUGUCCGUCGCUGGUCCGAGAGGGUCAUCAGCCACACUGCGACGGAGCCGAGGACAAGGCUACUGCGGGCAGCAGCCGAGAGGAAUUUGCAGCAAUGGGCGGAAGGCUGACGGAGCAAUGCGGCCUGGAGGUAAACCUCCUAGGGGUCAACAACUUCUUCUCCUGGAGAAGAAACAAUGACGGUAUCUGGUGAAUAAGCAUCGGCUAACUACGUG
RNAcentral lists this ribosomal RNA (437 nucleotides) under uncultured bacterium. RNAcentral's name for it is "partial 16S ribosomal RNA". It matches the Rfam family "Bacterial small subunit ribosomal RNA", at positions 28 to 507 of the family's 1533-position model. The record is from RNAcentral.